This 492-nucleotide ribosomal RNA is filed under the name uncultured bacterium. Its description in RNAcentral is "partial 16S ribosomal RNA". It matches the Rfam family "Bacterial small subunit ribosomal RNA", at positions 29 to 507 of the family's 1533-position model. The record is from RNAcentral.
AGUGAACGCUGGCGGUAGGCCUAACACAUGCAAGUCGAACGGCAGCACAGUAAGAGCUUGCUCUUACGGGUGGCGAGUGGCGGACGGGUGAGGAAUACAUCGGAAUCUACUUUUUCGUGGGGGAUAACGUAGGGAAACUUACGCUAAUACCGCAUACGACCUACGGGUGAAAGCAGGGGAUCUUCGGACCUUGCGCGAUUGAAUGAGCCGAUGUCGGAUUAGCUAGUUGGCGGAGUAAAGGCCCACCAAGGCGACGAUCCGUGGCUGGUCUGAGAGGAUGAUCAGCCACACUGGAACUGAGACACGGUCCAGACUCCUACGGGAGGCAGCAGUGGGGAAUAUUGGACAAUGGGCGCAAGCCUGAUCCAGCCAUACCGCGUGGGUGAAGAAGGCCUUCGGGUUGUAAAGCCCUUUUGUUGGGAAAGAAAAGCAGCAGGUUAAUACCCCGCUGUUCUGACGGUACCCAAAGAAUAAGCACCGGCUAACUUCGUG